Molecule: ribosomal RNA, 392 nt
Filed under: uncultured bacterium
Lineage: Bacteria
Description: partial 16S ribosomal RNA
Rfam family: Bacterial small subunit ribosomal RNA
Source: RNAcentral
AUACGGAGGAUCCGAGCGUUAUCCGGAUUUAUUGGGUUUAAAGGGUGCGCAGGCGGCCAUUUAAGUCAGCGGUUAAAUCGUGGGGCUCAACCCCAUUCUGCCGUUGAUACUGGGUGGCUUGAUUGCGGUCGAGGUUGGCGGAAUUCGUUGUGUAGCGGUGAAAUGCAUAGAUAUGACGAAGAACACCGAUUGCGUAGGCAGCUGACCAGACCGCAAAUGACGCUCAUGCACGAAAGUGCGGGGAUCGAACAGGAUUAGAUACCCUGGUAGUCCGCACAGUAAACGAUGAAUACUUGUUUUCGGCGAUAUAAUGUCAGUGGCUUAGCGAAAGCGUUAAGUUAUCCACCUGGGGAGUACGUUCGCAAGAAUGAAACUUAAAGGAAUUGACGGGG